GCGUCUUCUGAAUUGCAGUUCUUUCAACUACUCCUGAGUAAACUCAUUGAGCUAGUCUGGUUUUCCAAACGAGCCUGCUGCAGUCAUCGCCCUUAGCACCAUUAAGGAAUGGCUGGCCAAGAAUCAGCACGAGGACACUUUCCAAUCUUGGGUCUCCUGCAUCUGGGAUUUCCAUCUCCGCAGAUAUAUUUUCAGCAUGAAAGUUCAUCUGAGUAUUUCACCUAAAUUUGUGGUGAGUACUUAAUGGAUGAGAAACAAACAGGCAACCAGAAAAUAGGGAAAGCAUCUCUUGGACAAACCUAUUAGCAGAUAAACGUGGCAAUUUUCGAGGGUAACACAGAUGUUCAUUUCAAAAAGUAAGACUGAAAAGGAUG
This 374-nucleotide long non-coding RNA is filed under the name Capra hircus (goat). Its description in RNAcentral is "lncRNA (ENSCHIG00000001782.1)". The record is from RNAcentral. Lineage: Eukaryota; Metazoa; Chordata; Mammalia; Artiodactyla; Bovidae.